RNAcentral lists this non-coding RNA (95 nucleotides) under Pseudorhodoferax sp. Leaf274. RNAcentral's name for it is "c-di-GMP-I riboswitch aptamer". It matches the Rfam family "c-di-GMP-I riboswitch aptamer". From Rfam's summary of the family: GEMM was predicted in a large-scale screen for bacterial structured RNA regulatory elements. The record is from Rfam by way of RNAcentral. RNAcentral also lists the same sequence under 1 other name. Lineage: Bacteria; Pseudomonadati; Pseudomonadota; Betaproteobacteria; Burkholderiales; Comamonadaceae.
ACUUCCCGACAGCAAACGCAAUGAGAGUUGCGCACGCAAAGCCACAGGCCCUCAGCCGGCGCACGCGCGCCGGGUCGGGCAGCUGGGUUGCAUCC